GCAAUUACAGGGUUGAUUGUAUAUGCGUGUCUGUGUUAUAUAUAUUUUUUAUACUUUUACACUACAUCUACUUUGCAAAUCCUUGUGGCACCUCUCUCGCUAAAAGAAAAAUAUGGAGGGGCACCUCCUGCAGUCCUGCCGACCACCCGUACUGAAACCGACGCGCGGCGCGCCCACGGCCGCUGCGGCCGACACCUGACGGCUGACGCGCUAACGCCUGGCUGGUGCUNN
RNAcentral lists this long non-coding RNA (231 nucleotides) under Hordeum vulgare. RNAcentral describes it as "long non-coding RNA (HVUL_LNC007079)". Lineage: Eukaryota; Viridiplantae; Streptophyta; Magnoliopsida; Poales; Poaceae. The record is from RNAcentral.